UUCCUGCUGUCAGUCCCCUUACAAGUAUACGCUCUCUGUCCUGUCACACAGAUCUGCUGCCUGUCCUGUCACACAGAUCUGCUGCCUGUCCCGUCACACAGAUCUGCUCUCUGUCCUGUCACACAGAUCUGCUGCCUGUCCUGUCACACAGAUCUGCUCUCUGUCCUGUCACACAGAUCUGCUGCCUGUCCCAUCACACAGAUCUGCUCUCUGUCCUGUCACACAGAUCUGCUGCCUGUCCUGUCACACAGAUCUGCUCUCUUUUCUGUCACACAGAUCUGCUGCCUGUCCCAUCACACAGAUCUGCUGCCUGUCCUGUCACACAGAUCUGCUGUCUUGUCCCUCACACAGAUCUGCUGUCUUGUCCCUCACACAGAACUGCUGACACUCCUGUCACACAGAUCUGCUGUCUUGUCCCUCACACAGAACUACUGUCACUCCUGUCACACAGAUCUGCUGUCUUGUCCCUCACACAGAUCUGCUGCCUGUCCUGUCACACAGAUCUGCUGUCUUGUCCCUCACACAGACCCGCUGCCUGUCCUGUCACACAGACCCGCUGCCUGUCCCCUUGCAAGUCUACAGGAUGUCGCAGUCGUGUUUCUGGCUGCCCUUGCCGGCGGCUGGCGUGAAGAACUCGGGCCUCCCCUCCGCCCUGUUGGCCUGCACCAUCGCCUCGAUCUUCUCCAGCAGCUGGGCGGCCUGGGCGCGGCCCUGCUCCCCCCUGUUCUCGAGGACGUGCAGCCUGCCCCCGCAGCGGUCCACCAGCGCCUGCAGCUGCUCGUUCUCGCCCGCGAAGGCCUCGGCGCUCUUGCCCUUCAGGUCCUUCCCGCGGGUCAGCAGCACGACGGUGUAGCGCGCGGCCUCGCCGCCGAACAGCCGCAGCAGCCGGUCCGCGUCCCGCCGCCGGUUCUCCGUGAAGGGCUCCACCUUCAGCACCAGCAGGAAGGCGUGGGGCCCCGGGGCGCAGAGGGACAGCGCCCCCGCGAUCUUCCCUUCCGUGGCCUCGGAGAACCCCGGCGUGUCGACCACGACGACCGGCCUCCCGCCGGGCUCCCCCGCCCUCCGCUCGCAGGCCGUGGUCACGGCGCCGGGGGAGCGCUCCGCCCGGAACGCCUGCUCUCCCAGGAGGGCGUUCCCGCUGCUGCUCUUCCCAGUGCCCAUUUUCCCCAGCAGCACGAUCCGCAGCUCUCCUUGCCCUGCGGACGAGAGGCGCGGCGUCAUUCCCGCGCUGCCCUGUGCCACCCUGUCGAACCCCUCCCAGGAUAUUGCCCCGUUUUUAGAAAACAAACUUUCAAAAGUGUGGGAAUUCGCUCCCUGUGCUGGGUGAGAUCUGCCAGACGUUACUAUGGCCAGGAAGUCACCCAGUGGGUUUAUGGGUUUAUGGGAGUUGUAGUUCAAGACAUCUCCUAUUAACCCACUGGGUGACUCUCUGGCUGCCCAGCAUCUGUGUUAGCUAUCCGAUCCAGCUUCUGUUCCUGCCUCUCUGCGACUGAUUUAACCCACGUGCCCUGGCAGGAGGAGUAAACGUGUAGCUACAGCCAGCUCUGAAGAGUACUCGAUGAUUCGGGUCUGUGUCACUGGCACUGACUCGUGCUCCAUCGGAGUCACAGGAUCAGGUGCCCCCAGCUCUAGAAGUAGGGGUGCGCACCCCACAGCCGGGGACCCAGUGGGUUUGGCGUGGUAUUUACAGGACAGGGCUGGCUCGGCAAGACAGCACCAUGCCAGUCCGGUCCGGUGCAGGUCUUCGACGCAGCCGGCUGCUGAGUUACAGGACCGGAUUCAGGGAGCGCCCCGCUCCGACACGCCCCUGCGAAACAGGAGCGCUGGCUCACCGCAGCGGCAGGGCUCUGCCUGGCGGGCCGGCUGGCGGCGCCGAUCCUGUUCACACAAGUGCGGAUCUGCCCUGGGUUUGAUCCCUGUGGGAGAGGUGCCCCCCUGACUCUACCCCCCCCCCUCCCCACCUUCACAGCUCCGGAUGGGGGAGACCACGUGGCCACACAUUGUGUUUACACAUCGCGUGUGCUGAGACAGGAACAUUGGGGACCCCUUCCCACAGUGCCGUGUGAAGAGGCGGGUCUCCAGAGGGCAGCGGGGGUGUGGCUUGGAGCACAGGCCCCGCCCCCAGCCCUCUGGCGCUUGCUGUCUCAUUCUGACAUCACAGGAGCUGGAGGCGUCAUCACUGGGAAACUCCUGCUCUCUGUGCAGGGGGUUGGGAACGUUCGUCGGAAAACGUCCUCAGCCACUGCCCACCCACUGACGCCCUCCCCCACAGAGCAGCUGCACCUGUCUUGUGAGCUCCAGGUGUUUCUUGCCCAGACCAGCUCAAUCUGUGGGCAAGAGCCAGAGUCCGGGCUCUGUGUCACUCCAGACUGACACGGCUCUAAAACCUGUGGUCUAUCUGGGCAAUGUGCUGUGCACACCUCCUCCCCUCACACUGACCCUGCGUAGCUCUCGUCUCUCUCAGUGUCUCCUCCCUGUGCUGCCCUGCCCUGUGUCUCACAGCUCUGCUGGCAGGAUCCCAGCUGCUGUCUCCCACACGCCCAGCAGUCUGUGAUUCAGAGGACUCAGCGCAGGGCUGGUUCAGAGUCACAGCCUCCCGGGCUAGAGACACAGGGAUAUUCCCAGAGGGAAUUUAUGGAUUCUGCAGCCUGUCGCUGGAGAGAAAUGGCCUCUUCAGAUUGUUCUCUGGUUGCUAGUGACGAUGAACUCCUCCCCCUCCCGCUGUCCUGCAGGGGGAGGGGCUGUAUGACUGCUGGCACAGAAACACGCUCCCGGCUCCUGUUUUCCAUAAGGAGCUUCCCAAUGGGAAAGGGAGGCGAGGAAUGGUGAAGAGCAGCUCCUCCCCCUCUCCUACAGGAGCUGCACGAGGCUGAAGAGAACGGUGGCCACCCUCUGAACUGCAGGCUCUCCGUCUCCAGCGGAAAGCAGGCUGGACUCUCACCACACCCUUUCCGGUUUCUCCAUCGCUACAGCCCUGGAGACUCCAGGACAGCAGGGAGAAUCUGAGUCCUGCUCAGCAGCACACGGAGCCCGACCAGAACCGGGUCGGCGCGCGGCUCUGAACAGGCUGUGCCGCGUGUCAGCGGGCCUGACAGAGCAGCUCUUUGUUCUCAAUCCGCGCAGGAAAGAGGAAGCAGAGAGACACACAGGCAGGAGGAAACAGCCCUCAGAUCGCACUGCUGCCUCUCCAGGUGCUGCUGCAGCUCGUUCUGCCCCAGUCUGCCCCAGUCUGCCCCAGUCUGCCCCAGUCUGCCCCAGUCUGCCCCCUGGCUCUGCCCCCCCACCAGGCAGAGCAGCCUGGAGACCAUGAAGAAGAGGCCCUGUGCCCUGAACGUCUCACACCCUCUCUGCCCUGAACACAGACACUCUCCACCGCGACGCCACACUGCCUGAAUGAACAAGCCACGCCAGAGCACUGAACACAGCUGUGUGCAUCCAGACCCAACACUACAGCCAAUCUCUCAGCCUGGGCAGGACAGGGGCUCAGACUGCAGCCCCACUAAAGUCUACACCGUCUACAGGCUGGCUCGGAGCUCCUCAAUCUCAAGCAGAAGACCACUGACCUGCCAUAGUGCCUGCGGUGCUCCUGAGCCGGGGAGAGGGUGCUGUCCGUGUGGCGCAGGAGACGGGUGCUCAGUGCGUCUCGGCGCGCUCAGCCAGAGAGCAGGCAGGCAGAGCAGGUCCUGAGCGAAGGAUUGCGGUCUCCGAGAGGUUUCGGUUCUAGCCCUUGUUUAUCAGAAAGGGAGGCAGGUCCACAGGAGUCCGCCCUCUGACGUAGCUCUGUCCUCCCUCCCCCUGGACUAGUCUGCAGGCAAAUGAGCUCCUGGAUUGUGUAGACAGAGGUUGGUGAGCAGCGAGAAGAGAUGACGUGGCAGACGUCACGGGGAGGGACUGUCAGGCUGGUCUUCCUCUUUCUGUGCCAGGCUCACAGCUCCGCACACUGGCCCACACUGCCUCUCUGCCUCGCCUGCCAGUCCCUCAGCUCUAAUCAGGACCCCACACUGCCUCC
This is a long non-coding RNA of Lepisosteus oculatus (spotted gar), 4009 nucleotides long. NCBI's taxonomy places the organism in Eukaryota, Metazoa, Chordata, Actinopteri, Semionotiformes, Lepisosteidae. The record is from Ensembl.